GAUGAAGAACGUAGCGAAAUGUGAUACGUAGUGUGAAUUGCAGAAUUCAGUGAAUCAUCGAAUCUUUGAACGCACAUUGCACCUCUCGGUAUUCCGGGAGGUAUGCCUGUUCGAGCGUCAUUUGUACCCUCAAGCUCUGCUUGGUGUUGGGUGUUUGUUCCGCCUCUGUGUGUGAACUCGCCUCAAAACAAUUGGCAGCCGGCGUACUUGUUUCGGAGCGCAGCACAUUUUGCGAUCCAGAUCAACGUACAGCGGCAUCCAAGAAGCCUUAUUUAACGCUCUUGACCUCGGAUCAGGAAGGGAUACCCGCUGAACUUAAGCAUAUCAAUAAGCGGAGGA
RNAcentral lists this unclassified non-coding RNA (339 nucleotides) under soil metagenome. RNAcentral describes it as "partial contains 5.8S ribosomal RNA, internal transcribed spacer 2, and large subunit ribosomal RNA". The stretch from base 1 to 120 matches the Rfam family "5.8S ribosomal RNA", at positions 35 to 154 of the family's 154-position model. The record is from RNAcentral.